CAGCAGACACAUUCCAGCCAAUCAGCAGCAGACCCUCCCUCCCACCUCCUGGACCGCAUCCAUUUUACAUUCUUUGUGAAGCUGCAUUCUUAGUGAGCUGUCCAGGAGGUGGGAGGGUCUGGGAGGGAGGGUCUGCUGCUGAUUGGCUGGAAUGUGUCUGCUG
Molecule: microRNA precursor, 163 nt
Filed under: Pelobates cultripes (western spadefoot toad)
Lineage: Eukaryota; Metazoa; Chordata; Amphibia; Anura; Pelobatidae
Source: RNAcentral